GUAGGGAAUCUUCCACAAUGGACGAAAGUCUGAUGGAGCAACGCUGCGUGAGUGAAGAAGGUCUUCGGAUCGUAAAACUCUGUUGUUAGAGAAGAACGUGCAUGAUAGUAACUGAUCAUGUAAUGACGGUAUCUAACCAGAAAGCCACGGCUAACUACGUGCCAGCAGCCGCGGUAAUACGUAGGUGGCAAGCGUUGUCCGGAUUUAUUGGGCGUAAAGGGAACGCAGGCGGUUUUUUAAGUCUGAUGUGAAAGCCUUCGGCUUAACCGAAGAAUAGCAUUGGAAACUGGGAGACUUGAGUGCAGAAGAGGAGGGUGGAAUUCCAUGUGUAGCGGUGAAAUGCGUAGAUAUAUGGAGGAACACCAGUGGCGAAAGCGGCUCUCUGGUCUGUAACUGACGCUGAGGUUCGAAAGCGUGGGUAGCAAACAGGAUUAGAAACCCGUGUAGUCC
This 450-nucleotide ribosomal RNA is filed under the name uncultured bacterium. RNAcentral's name for it is "partial 16S ribosomal RNA". It matches the Rfam family "Bacterial small subunit ribosomal RNA", at positions 354 to 796 of the family's 1533-position model. The record is from RNAcentral.